UACGUAGGGGGCAAGCGUUGUCCGGAUUCAUUGGGCGUAAAGAGCGUGUAGGCGGCCUGGAAGGUCAGCUGUGAAAACUCGAGGCUCAACCUCGAGACGUCGGUUGAAACCACUUGGCUAGAGUCCGGAAGAGGAGUGUGGAAUUCCCGGUGUAGCGGUGAAAUGCGCAGAUAUCGGGAAGAACACCCGUGGCGAAGGCGGCACUCUGGGACGGUACUGACGCUGAGACGCGAAAGCGUGGGGAGCGAACAGG
RNAcentral lists this ribosomal RNA (253 nucleotides) under uncultured bacterium. Its description in RNAcentral is "partial 16S ribosomal RNA". It matches the Rfam family "Bacterial small subunit ribosomal RNA", at positions 524 to 776 of the family's 1533-position model. The record is from RNAcentral.